AUAAAUAAAAGGAAAGCCAAGCAGGCACAGUUUGUCUCUCUCAGGUCUCUUCUCUGGAGUCUGGGCGUUGUUGUUUACUGUGUGUGUGAGUUGAGAGGCAUAUCCUUGGUUGCUACCCUCGAUCAGGAACUGCAGUCAAUCUUGUAAUUUCCUUGGACAUCUUCAUGAUCUUUCAUGUUCACAAAUGCUUUAAAAGGGUCCGCUUCCUACCCACUACUUCAAACUCUUCUGCCUUUUUCCAUACCUCCUUUGAGAGUUGCUCAUCUGCUGUGUCUCCACUCGGGUCGUCGCAGCAAUUGGAAGACCCUACAAGACUAUCAGACCUUGACAUUAUCAUAUCUAGAGUUCCUGUUGGAAGUACUGAUGAUCAAGUACUAUUGUCUCUUUCACAUGAUCAAGCAUGUAAUAGCAUUCAGCUCACACAUCUCCUUGUUCAUCAAUUGUUCCAUCGAUUUAAGAAUGAUUGGAAGUCGGCACUGGGUGUGUUUAGAUGGGCUGAGUCACGACCUGGCUAUAAACUCCCCCCAGAUGCGUAUGAUAUGAUCAUCGACAUUUUAGGUAAAAUGAGGCAGAUGGAUCAGACUAUGCAUUUGUUAGAAAGAAUGCAUCACGAUCGUCUGGUAACACUCAACACUGUAGGUAAGGUUAUGAGAAGAUUCGCUGGUGCGGGGAAAUGGGAGGAUGCUGUGAGGAUAUUUGAUGGGUUGGGAAGAUUUGGAUUAGAGAAGAACACAGAAUCAAUGAACUUGUUGCUUGACACCCUCUGCAAAGAGAACAAAGUUGAGGUCGCCCGCGAUAUCUUUUUAGAACUAAAAUCACACAUCUCACCAAAUGCUCAUACGUUUAACAUUUUCAUUCACGGCUGGGGCAAGGUCAAUCGGGUUGAUGAGGCACACUGGACAAUCCAAGAAAUGAAGGGUCAUGGCUGUCGCCCUUGUGCCAUUAGCUACUCAACCAUUAUCCUCUUUUAUUGCCACAAGUACAACUUUGGUAAGGUCUAUGAACUGUUUGAUGAAAUGGAAGCUCAAGCCUGCCCUCCAAAUGUUGUCACUUUCACCACUGUUAUGUGUUAUCUUGCAAAGUCUGAGGAAUUCGAGGAAGCUAUGCAAUUAUAUGAGAGAAUGAAAUCAGCUGAAUGUAAACCUGAUACCCUGUUCUACAACUCACUGAUCCACACACUAGGAAGAGCUCGACGAGUACGUGAAGCUAUUCAUGUUUUUGAGGUUGAGAUGCCUGAGAAUGAGGUUCCUCAUAAUACAUCAACUUACAAUACGAUGAUUGCCAUGUUUUGCAAUAAUGCUCAGGAGGAGGAAGCCUUGAAAAUCCUCCGGAAGAUGGAAAGUUCAGGGCUCUGUAAGCCUGAUGUUCAGACAUACUAUCCGUUGCUUAAAAUGUGCUUCAAAACUGGCAAAACAGACAGUUGUUUGAUUGAGUUAGUGAAUGACAUGGUCAAUGGACAUCAUCUCAGUCUUGAUCUCUCAACAUAUACACUUCUAAUUCACGGUCUAUGCAGAGCAGGUAAAUGUGAGUGGGCUUACAGUCUGUUCAAAGAGAUGAUUGCUCAAGAGAUGAAGCCUAGAUAUAAGACAUGUCGUUUGCUUUGGGAUGAAGUCAAACUGAAGAAUAUGUCUGCAGCUGCUGACAGCAUUGAAGAUUUCAUGAAGAACCUAUAACCAAAUGGGAAAGUCAUGUCAUUGUACUGAGUUCAUAUGAGGUGACAGAUUUAUAUCUUCAACCAGAAUAACAGUGAUGCUGGUGUUGCAUUGUGUAGAACAAACAUGUUGUCAGAAAGAGCCUUCCAUCUGCCAAGUCUGAUAUGCUUUAAUCAGCAUGGAAUCCUCUGCCUGAAUGGAGUGGGCAGUUGCAUCUUCAAACGUAGUUGCUUCUUCGAAUUGACUAAUGAUAUCCUCCAUUAUUAUACAUUGAAUAUGGGGACCUGCUUGUGUGCCCAAACCAUAUGAAGAGGCCAACAAUUACGGAGCUGGCAGGAUCAUAGAAGGUGAAGGGCCAAUUGCAUUGGUGGCAAGAAAACCUAAAGAGUGAGAAUCCGGCCUGUUUUUCGUGAUGAUUCUGAAGAAAUCCCAAAGUUCUUUGGUGUUGGGCGAGCCUUGAACUUCAUGUACCACAUAUAACUCCUAAUACCCAAUUUUGCAAAGAUUAGUUGCUCAGAAUAGAUCAGGUGGCCUCAAAUUUAAGAGGAAUCAGAAUUGAUUGCAGUUUGUAACUCACAAUUUAGAAGCUUCUGAUAAGUUUUGUAGACAUAAUUUAUCUGGAGUUGGUGUUUUAUGUUGGCCAAUUUGUUAAAUGAAUCAUUAGGAUAUGUCCGAUGUCUUAUGGAA
Rosa rugosa (rugosa rose) is the source of this 2339-nucleotide RNA transcript. It is a transcript of the gene named pentatricopeptide repeat-containing protein At3g04130, mitochondrial, with no coding region annotated. NCBI's taxonomy places the organism in Eukaryota, Viridiplantae, Streptophyta, Magnoliopsida, Rosales, Rosaceae. The record is from RefSeq and is a predicted model, not a curated record. The transcript is spliced from 4 exons.